This 378-nucleotide unclassified non-coding RNA is filed under the name uncultured bacterium. RNAcentral's name for it is "contains 16S-23S intergenic spacer region". The record is from RNAcentral.
UCCGGUUUUUCACCGGCAGUCCCUUUAGAGUGCCCAGCUUGACCUGAUGGCAACUAAAGGCAGGGGCUGCGCUCGUUGCGGGACUUAACCCAACAUCUCACGACACGAGCUGACGACAGCCAUGCACCACCUGUGCACUGGUCCCGAAGGAGGGCCGUAUUUCUACGACAUUCCUGUGCAUGUCAAGCCCUGGUAAGGUUCUUCGCGUUGCGUCGAAUUAAAGAACAUGCUCCGCUGCUUGUGCGGGCCCCCGUCAAUUCUUUUGAGUUUUAGCCUUGCGGCCGUACUCCCCAGGCGGAACACUUAUCGCGUUGGCUUCGGCACAGACAGAUUCGACUCCGCCCACACCUAGUGUUCAUCGUUUACGGCGUGGACUAC